UAGAUCCUCCCAUGAAACUUGCAGAGGAAGAAGCUUCCUGAUUCCGGUAUGAAAUAACAUGAACCACUCGACACAUCACCACAGUCUAAACGGUUCUCCUCCAAGCAGACGUCCAACCUGAGAGAGUCAACGGAAGUGAUCCUCCGGGACUGGAAACUCCGGCACAACAGAAGAAUCUGAAUCCUGUGAAUCUGAAUGCUGAGACGGCGAGAUAAACCCAGAUCGUGGCCUACUGUAUGAUCCAGACCGAACCUGAUUCGCUUGUCAAGAAGACAUCAGACUCCAGUCUGAGUUCUUUCACAAGAAUCUUACAAUUUCCAAACAAUCUACUCUUCUUUUUUAUUUUACACUGUUUUAUAUUGUGGUUGUUGCAUGACCGAUUUGUGAAGAAAUAAACUGGUCAUUUGUUAACCUUG
Molecule: long non-coding RNA, 416 nt
Organism: Limanda limanda (common dab)
Lineage: Eukaryota; Metazoa; Chordata; Actinopteri; Pleuronectiformes; Pleuronectidae
Exons: 2
Source: RefSeq, a predicted model, not a curated record